This 254-nucleotide ribosomal RNA is filed under the name uncultured bacterium. RNAcentral describes it as "partial small subunit ribosomal RNA". It matches the Rfam family "Bacterial small subunit ribosomal RNA", at positions 26 to 285 of the family's 1533-position model. The record is from RNAcentral.
AGGACGAACGCUGGCGGCGUGCUUAACACAUGCAAGUCGAGCGGAAAGGCCCUUCGGGGUACUCGAGCGGCGAACGGGUGAGUAACACGUGAGCAACCUGCCCUUAGCUCCGGGAUAGCUCCGGGAAACCGGGAUUAAUACCGGAUAUGACCACUUUAGACAUCUGCUGUGGUGGAAAGAAUUUCGGCUAGGGAUGAGCUCGCGGCCUAUCAGCUUGUUGGUGGGGUAACGGCCUACCAAGGCGACGACGGGUA